RNAcentral lists this ribosomal RNA (373 nucleotides) under uncultured bacterium. Its description in RNAcentral is "bacterial SSU rRNA". It matches the Rfam family "Bacterial small subunit ribosomal RNA", at positions 28 to 404 of the family's 1533-position model. The record is from RNAcentral.
GACGAACGCUGGCGGCGUGCUUAACACAUGCAAGUCGAGCGGUAAGGCCCUUCGGGGUACACGAGCGGCGAACGGGUGAGUAACACGUGGGUGACCUGCCUCUAGCUCUGGGAUAAGCCUGGGAAACUGGGUCUAAUACCGGAUAUGACUCCACGGCGCAUGUUGUGGGGUGGAAAGCCUUGUGUGGCUAGAGAUGGGGCCCGCGGCCCUAUCAGCUUGUUGGUGGGGUGANGGCCUACCAAGGCGACGACGGUAGCCGGCCUGAGGGGCGACCGGCCACACUGGGACUGAGACACGGCCCAGACUCCUACGGGAGGCAGCAGUGGGGAAUCUUGCGCAAUGGGCGAAAGCCUGACGCAGCGACGCCGCGUGA